RNAcentral lists this ribosomal RNA (429 nucleotides) under bacterium. RNAcentral describes it as "partial 16S ribosomal RNA". It matches the Rfam family "Bacterial small subunit ribosomal RNA", at positions 355 to 776 of the family's 1533-position model. The record is from RNAcentral.
UGGGGAAUCUUGCGCAAUGCGCGAAAGCGUGACGCAGCAACGCCGCGUGGGGGAAGAAGGCCUUCGGGUGGUAAACCCCUUUCAGUUGGGACGAAGCCCCGUCGGUGAAUAGCCGGUUGGAGUGACGGUACCUUCACAAGAAGCCCCGGCUAACUACGUGCCAGCAGCCGCGGUAAUACGUAGGGGGCUAGCGUUGUCCGGAAUCAUUGGGCGUAAAGAGCGUGUAGGCGGCCCGGUAAGUCCGCUGUGAAAGUCGGGGGCUCAACCCUCGAAAGCCGGUGGAUACUGUCGGGCUAGAGUGCGGAAGAGGCGAGUGGAAUUCCUGGUGUAGCGGUGAAAUGCGCAGAUAUCAGGAGGAACACCGAUUGCGAAGGCAGCUCGCUGGGACGUAACUGACGCUGAGACGCGAAAGCGUGGGGAGCAAACAGG